GGAGGGGUGCCGGAGUGGUUGAUCGGGGCGGUCUCGAAAACCGUUGUGGUGCGUAUGCGCCACCGUGGGUUCGAAUCCCACCCCCUCCGCCA
Molecule: transfer RNA, 92 nt
Filed under: Pseudomonadota bacterium
Lineage: Bacteria; Pseudomonadati; Pseudomonadota
Also listed under: 1 other name
Description: tRNA-Ser
Rfam family: tRNA
About the family: Transfer RNA (tRNA) molecules are approximately 80 nucleotides in length. Their secondary structure includes four short double-helical elements and three loops (D, anti-codon, and T loops). Further hydrogen bonds mediate the characteristic L-shaped molecular structure. tRNAs have two regions of fundamental functional importance: the anti-codon, which is responsible for specific mRNA codon recognition, and the 3' end, to which the tRNAs corresponding amino acid is attached (by aminoacyl-tRNA synthetases). tRNAs cope with the degeneracy of the genetic code in two manners: having more than one tRNA (with a specific anti-codon) for a particular amino acid; and 'wobble' base-pairing, i.e. permitting non-standard base-pairing at the 3rd anti-codon position.
Source: RNAcentral